CCAUUACUCAAGGAAUGCCAACCUCAGUGAAUUUCAUUCCUGUACAUGUUUCACUGCCUUUCUCUUUUAAAAGAAUUAAUCUCUCUAAUAUGAAGUUUGGGAGAUUCACUGUAUUCCAUUCCUGCUGGUCAUACUUGAUGUCCAUGUGGAAUUCCUCUAGGAUUGUGCUGGAAGCAAUUGGCUCUCCUCUAUGCAGGGACAUUUUCUUUGGUCUCCUUUAGGCCUCCUCGUUCUCUAGUCUUUACUUCCUGCUGAACCUAUCUUAUUUGUUUUUUAUUAUUCAGAAAUUCCUCAAGGUUUCUGUUCAUUACAAUAUUCCAGAGUUUUAAUGAUUUAAUUCUUUGCUUUAUACCCCUUUGUUCAUUUUAAUAAUAUUAGGAUAUUGGGAUAAGUAAAGAUGUGCUCUUGAACAUGCGUGAUCUUAUACAGGGAUCCCACCAUAAGUUUAGUCAAAUGGAAGAGGGAAGGGGUGAAAUUGAUGUGUUAGGAAGAUAGUAUUGGCAGAAGUAAGAAAGAUGAAUAGAGGGAAAGGAGAAUGAAGAUCAUUUAGAAGUUGCACUUGUGCAACUAUUUGUAAUAUUUGAGUUCAUAAUGAUUCCAAUUCUAAUGGCCUAUCCUGAAAA
RNAcentral lists this long non-coding RNA (623 nucleotides) under Bos taurus (domestic cattle). RNAcentral describes it as "long non-coding RNA NONBTAT009620". Lineage: Eukaryota; Metazoa; Chordata; Mammalia; Artiodactyla; Bovidae. The record is from RNAcentral.